Panthera uncia (snow leopard) is the source of this 371-nucleotide long non-coding RNA. RefSeq lists it as uncharacterized. The transcript is spliced from 2 exons. The record is from RefSeq and is a predicted model, not a curated record. NCBI's taxonomy places the organism in Eukaryota, Metazoa, Chordata, Mammalia, Carnivora, Felidae.
ACUAACACCACUCUUUAGUCAGAAUGUGGGAAAGGAAGAGUCAAAGGUAAGUGUAAGAAUCUAGUCCCUUUCUUAUUCUUAUCACAAUUAUGCUGUAGGCAUGCUGUGUUCCAUGGUACUCUAAGACCAUUCUAUCAUAUUCUAUGAUUCUAUUCUAUGAAUCCCAUCAGAGUGUAAUGAAGUAUUUAAGCGUGCUGGCCCAGGAUCACGCUUUAAGGAGCAAAGAAAUCAAGCUGUUUAAACUGUACAACAACCGCAAAACUACAUCUACCUGGUGAACAAAAGAAAAACCAACAGCGGAGAGUUAUCUUUACAUAUCACAUAGACAGCCAUAAAAAUGUUUUGUGUUAAUGACUUAAAAGAAAUAGAAA